GUGCGGUCAAAUGAGGGGGCCUCCUCAGACGAGCGGCGGACGGGUGAGUAAUGCAUGGGAAUGCGCCCGAUAGUGGGGGACAACCCUGGGAAACCAGGGCUAAUACCGCAUGUUUUCUACGGAACAAAGCGGGGGAUCUUUUCGGAGACCUCGCGCUAUCGGAGCAGCCCAUGUCCGAUUAGCUUGUUGGCGGGGUAACGGCCCACCAAGGCGACGAUCGGUAGCUGGUCUGAGAGGAUGAUCAGCAACACCGGGACUGAGACACGGCCCGGACUCGUACGGGAGGCAGCAGUGGGGAAUAUUGGACAAUGGGGGCAACCCUGAUCCAGCGAUGCCGCAUGAGUGAAGAAGGCUUUCGGGUUGUAAAGCUCUUUCGCAGGGGAAGAAAAAACGCGGAGUAAUACGCCGCGUCCAUGACGGUACCCUGACAAGAAGCACCGGCUAACUUCGUGCCAGCAGCCGCGGUAAUACGGGGGGUGCAAACGCGUUAAUCGGAAUUACUGGGCGUAAAGCGUGCGUAGGCGGCCGUCCAAGUCAGAUGUGAAAGCCCCGGGCUCAACCCGGGAACUGCGUUUGAAACUGGAGGGCUUGAGUUUGGCAGAGGAAGGUGGAAUUCCGCGUGUAGCGUGGGAAUGCGUAGAGAUGCGGAAGAACACUAAUGGCGAAGGCAUCCUUCUGGGCCGACACUGACGCUGAGUCACGAAAGCGUGGGGAGCAAACAGGAUUAGAUACCCUGGUAGUCCACGCCCUAAACGAUGCCCGCUAGCUGUCGGAGGUUCCAAUUUAUUGGUCUUUCGGUAGCGACGUAACGCGUUAAGCGGGCCGCCUGGGGAAUACGGUCGCAAGAUUAAAACUCAAAGGAAUUGACGGG
Molecule: ribosomal RNA, 871 nt
Filed under: uncultured beta proteobacterium
Lineage: Bacteria; Pseudomonadati; Pseudomonadota; Betaproteobacteria
Description: bacterial SSU rRNA
Rfam family: Bacterial small subunit ribosomal RNA
Source: RNAcentral